This 407-nucleotide ribosomal RNA is filed under the name uncultured bacterium. RNAcentral's name for it is "partial 16S ribosomal RNA". It matches the Rfam family "Bacterial small subunit ribosomal RNA", at positions 30 to 526 of the family's 1533-position model. The record is from RNAcentral.
AUUGAACGCUGGCGGCAGGCCUAACACAUGCAAGUCGAGCGGAGCGGCGGACGGGUGAGUAAUGCCUAGGAAUCUGCCUGGGAGUGGGGGAUAACGUCCGGAAACGGGCGCUAAUACCGAAUACUAUCAGAUGAGCCUAGGACGGAUUAGCAAGUUGGUGGGGUAAAGGCCUCACAAGGCGACGAUCCGUAACUGGUCUGCGAGGAUGAUCAGUCACACUGGAACGGAGCCACUGUCCAUACUCCUACGGGAGGCAGCAGUUGGUAAUAUUGGACAAUGGGCGAAAGCCUGAUCCAGCCAUGCCGAGUGUGUGAAGAAGGUCUUCGUAUUGUAAAGCACUUUAAGUUGGGGGGCCUUACCAACAGAAUAAGCACCGGCUAACUUCGUGCCAGCAGCCGCGGUAAUUC